This is a long non-coding RNA of Pseudopipra pipra, 4781 nucleotides long. RefSeq lists it as uncharacterized. The transcript has 8 exons. NCBI's taxonomy places the organism in Eukaryota, Metazoa, Chordata, Aves, Passeriformes, Pipridae. The record is from RefSeq and is a predicted model, not a curated record.
CCUCCUGCAUGUGACUUUCUCCAAAGGUGCCAUUUUUCUCACCUUCAGUUUUCCAGCCAGGCUGCUGCUCCUGCUGGCUCUCCAGAGCCUCUCCAGCGAAACAAUUCCUCCUGGGAUAAGUCCCUUCACCCGUUUCCAUGGCAAAGAGUGAGCACCUUCUCUUUUAUGCUGAUUCACUGAUCUGUUCUUUCCCCUCAGGAAUUCAUACUGGAGAGCGUGUGGAAUGUGGCAGCUCCUCUUUGUCCUGAAGAGUUGUGUCUGAAUGGAGCAUCGUCAGGAUUUAAUUACAGCCCAUUCUCAGUCCUGAACAUCCUCAACAGCUCGUGGGCUGUUGAUGGAAAAGUGGAGGUCAUAGCCUAUGAGACUGCAAGUGGGGCUCUGACAGCCCAAGGAGGAGAUGGAGCCUGUCAGCAGCGAAAAGGGUUUUCUCUUCCAGCUGACAGAUGCAGAGUUCUACUCCAUGUGUGCUUUGAGGUGAAGGAACAUCCUUGUAGUUCACAGAGGAAAUCACAAAUCCAUGGCUUCUGCAUUAAGGUUUUGAGGAUUUAACCUUGGAAGUGUCCAUGAGAGGCCAAGGAAAAUAAUGAAUUAACUUAGAUCUUGGAGUCCAGGGAGAGCUGAGCUGGAUUAGGAUUGAUUUAGGAUGGACUCGUGCUGCAGCAAUGGGAAUGGAACAGAUUUAGGUUGGAAUCAGACCUGGAAUUCUGGGGUCUAAAACCCACCCUUGAAUCUAGAAGCACCAAAUAUCCUUGGAGUCACAGCCAGUCAGGAAAAAGCUCCCUUUUUCUCAGUUUUCUGGCCUCAAAUACCUAUUACAGUUGUCCCAACAUCCUGACUUGAGCAAGUGGCUUCCACCUGCACUCCAGGGAUUUUUGGAAUGUUGUCCCAUAAAAUCACAGGAGGUUGGAAAAGACCCCUAAGGUUGAGCCCAACCAUUAACUCAGCCCAAAUUCACCACUAACCCACGUCCCCCAGUGCCACAUCCACCUGUUCUCUGAUCUCCUCCAGGUGAUUCCACUGCUCCAGUGCCUGACCAACCUUUCCAGGAUAUCAUUUUUCCUGAUAUCCAACCUAAACUUCCUCUGGAGUAACCUGAGAAACAGCUGGAAGAACAUUGGAUCAAGCCUCUCCAUGAAGACACGUGGAUAUAUCUGAUGCAGAAAUUUCUACCCAUACAUUUGAGGACAAAACUACACCUCUGAGCACUUCAGGAGAGGUUGUUCCUGCUGUUCUGCCACUUCAGGAUCUGUUUCCCCGGGAACACAGACAUGGAAAAAAUCUGCUGACAUGGUUCUGCAAGGGAACCAGACUGUUAUUGCAGAGGUGUCAGUGUUGUGAGACUUUAUUGGAAAUCUGGGAAGAUUUGUGUCGUGCCUGGCAAAGGCCUGUCCCAGGUGGUAUGAGGUGGCCCUGAGGUAGAGGGGGAAAACAGAGCACCCAAAAGAUGUUCAGAGCAUCUCCUGAGGGAUUUUCUGCCUUUCUCCAAACACCACAAUAUUUUAGGAUGUAGUUUAAGACAUAGGACAACUCUGCUUUUCCCCUCCAGACAAACUGAGCUCCUUCUUCCCAAGGAGCCUCAAUUACUUUUCUGAAGCCACUGGGACAUCACAAGGAUAAUUCUGCCUUUCAAGAAAUCUCUCUUCAAGCUUCCCACUGAUGGAAACCCUAUGUUGCUGAAAGGUGGCAAUUAAUCCUUAAACAAAGACAGAUUGCUUGUCAUAGGUUCCUGCUGGCCCAGUCACACCAGAGCCAUUUCUGGCUGCUCAAAUCUGACUUUCUGAUGUUAUUGUCUCCCCCCAUCUCAUAAACAUCUGACAGACAUUUUCUUCCAAAUAGGAAUUUCUCUUUCAUUUUGCCAUUAUGGCAGCUCGAGGAGGUGUUUUUCAUUUCAUAACAACAUCCCUGAGGGCAAAUAGCUGAUAGAGAGACUAAAUUCCCUAAAGCAAUUUCCUUUGCUAUCCAAACCCUCUCCUCCUCUAUUGGUGCAAUCAGAAGUGGGAGAUGGAUAAAAGCUACUUGGUUACAAGUUCAUCUCCUGUCAGUGCAGGAGUUGUUCUCUGCAGUUUAUUUCUGGUGUUUUGACCAAUCUGUUAUUUCAAAGUUUAUUGUAUCUGUCUGUUCAGAGAUAGAAGUUUCUCCUCUUAGUCAGCCUAAAUUAUCAUCUUCCUUUUUUCAUCCUUUUUUCCUCCCCUUCCUCUCAUUUCUACUUUCUUGCAGCUGGAAAUUACAGAACCUCACACCUUUAAUACUGACAGGAAAGAAGUUUUUUUUCCUGGAACGAUAACAAAUUGGGGAAGUCUCAUGUAAAAUUUUAUUUCUAUAUCUUAAGAUAAAUCUGGGUAUGAGACAUAAAAGCUGCUGGAGAAAAGAGCAGGCUUAGGAUCCUGGUGUCUCUGGAAUUGUUCUAAGACACCAUCUCUGGCUGAGCAAUGUGUAACAAAUUAAUUUGAUAACUGUUGGCUUCUCCAUGGGUUUUGUAGGGUUCUUUUUGGUGUUGUGUGUGAUGAACAUUUGCUGUCCACUGCUGGCUUUAGCAAAUCUAACAAUCCACUGGAAAAGCAAGAAGUGGAGGAGAGUUUUAGGCAAUUUUUUCUCCUUUCCCUGUCAUUCCCAGUGUUGGCAGCUGUCAAACCCACACACCAGACAGAUUUUUGUCAGGAAAGGGAAUCAACAGUGCUGCCUCUGGAAGAAGGAGUUGUAGGACUUGUCCCCAGCCAGGACUUCAGCUGAGUCCCUUUUUGGAGCUGCAUCCCGAGGUGCUGGUCCCUGGGAGGGAAGGGCAGGGGACAGAGCAGUCUUGGCACACUGAGAAGCCAAACUUUCUGCACGGACAGCAGUGCUGUGGAAAAGGGGCUGCUUUGGGAGGUAGGAAGAGGUUAAUAAGCACUGAGAGAGGGAGAAAGAAGAAAUCAAAGCACAAAAAGAAAAUCUUGCUCUGUCUGCUUCAGCCCUUUGGUGUAGAGUUGCUGGCUCUGCUUGGCCUGCCCCCUUUUUUCCCCAGUCUAUUCAUAGGGAUGUAUUUAACACUUCUGCUUGCUUUAAAACCCAAAAGUACACCAAGGCUAAAUAUAAGCAUCUCUCCAGCUCUUUGUUCUCUCUUAAAAAGGCUGUAGCUGAGUCUUCACUCCCUUGCACCUUGAGAUCCUAAUUACACAUGUCAGAUGAGGUGUGGGCUGCUACCACCAACAUCAGAGGAGGAUUGGCUUUGAUGUCUUACACCUUCCCUCCACCGACUGAAAUCACUGCCAGAGGUGCAAGACAGACUAAUACCUCCCUGUUUAUCUCAAUGCAAAGCUUUCUGAUUAAAAUAUUUGAGUGAAACAGUGCACUGGUGAUACACUCCUCGAUUUUUAACAUGCUGCUUUUAUGAAGUUUAUAAAGGCAAGUUGAUCAAUCAUUGCUGUGCCAAUUCCCCUCUCACAUGGUCAGAUGGGGACACACAGCGUGGCCUUAAAGGCAGUUUGAAAUUUUAGUUCAAUAAUAUUUGUGAUAAAGCUUUUUACUCUCAUGGAAGAGUAAACUUUAUACUUAAGGUAAGUUUAACAUUUUUUUUUCAUCAAUUAAGCCAAUGUAUUUUCCAUAGAAUUGCUGCAAUUAUCUCUCUCUAGUCCCUGAAAUGAGCUUGUGGUGAGAUGGGGGUCAGCCUCUUCUCCCAGGGAACUGGUGGCUGGACAAGGGGAAGUGGCCUCAAGUUGUGCCAGGGGAAAUUCAGGUUGGAUAUCAGGGAAAAUUCCUUCACUGAAAGAGUGGUUAACCAUUGGCACAGGCUGCCCAGGGAAAGGGGGGGGAGUCACCAUCCCUGGGAGUCUUCAAACAACAACUAGAAGUGGUAGUUUGUGAUGUGGUUUAGUGGGCAGGGUGGUAUUUGGUCAAAGCCUGGACUUGAUGAUCUCAGAGGUCUUUUCCAACCUUAAUUUUAUUGAAUCUAUGACUAUGAGCUCUUUAUUGUGAUAACUGCACAGUUGCAAUCAUCCUGUUGCACCCCAUGGCACGGUGUGUUUGCUGAUAUUCAGCACUCCAGAGCACAUUGAAAUUCCCUCUCACUCUGCUUUGUCCUUCCCUGGGCCUCUUUCCCCUAAUUUCAGUCUUUAAUGUGUAACCAGGAUCCCAUUUCCGUGGAGGCUCUCUCAUGGACCUGUUUGUGGUGAUUAAAGCUCAGCAAGUCCAGGAACCUUCAGACUUUGUUCUCUGAGAGGAACCUUUCAUUUAAAAUCCCUUAACGCCCUUCUGCUCUUCUGUGGAAAUAAUAAAUAAUAACAGAGGUCCUUACAGAUAAGUUAUUUUUCAUUUGCACAGAACCUACAGUACUACAGGAUAGUAAAAUAUGCCACUAUAGGGACAAACCCCUUUGUGCCUUGAUAAAACAUCAGGGUCAUCCACAUUUUUUGGGCACGGGGGAUAAACCCUGGAAUGAGUCUUAUAAGGAAAUGUGUCUCGUAGUAAACAGGUUUCAAAGAGUUGUUACAGAGCUGCCACGAUUUCAGCUUUGAGCAAGGAAUGCUGUAAAUAUCAAUUGCUGUUAUAAAAAGCAGUAAUUGUGAUUUCCAGGAGUUUUACUUUCUUAUUUUAUCCUGCUGUUUGUAUCCCACCAAGAGCUGUAGCAAUAUAAAAAUACAUGGAUUCAUUCAAAUGCUCACUAAUACACUGUUUAAUUCAAAUUGUUCUUAAAUAGCUUCCUAAAUUCUAUUUCAUUUUGUUAUUUUGGGAUUUAUUGCUGCUUUAGUUCAUAAAGCUGCUGGAUUCCAAAAUCUGAAUUACAGUCCCUCUGCAGUUUUUUGUUU